RNAcentral lists this transfer RNA (73 nucleotides) under Ixodes scapularis (black-legged tick). It matches the Rfam family "tRNA". Rfam says of the family: Transfer RNA (tRNA) molecules are approximately 80 nucleotides in length. Their secondary structure includes four short double-helical elements and three loops (D, anti-codon, and T loops). Lineage: Eukaryota; Metazoa; Arthropoda; Arachnida; Ixodida; Ixodidae. The record is from Rfam by way of RNAcentral.
CCCUGGUUAGCCCAGUUAGUAGAGCGCUCCACUGAAAAUGGAGAGGUCCCGCGUUCGAUACCCAGACGAGGGA